Molecule: long non-coding RNA, 658 nt
Filed under: Equus caballus (horse)
Lineage: Eukaryota; Metazoa; Chordata; Mammalia; Perissodactyla; Equidae
Description: lncRNA (ENSECAG00000054196.1)
Source: RNAcentral
CUCAGCCCUCCUCUGAGAAGCAUCUAAGUCACCCCUCUCUCCUCCACAUGCCUCAGCCCAGCUGGUCAGGGGGACCUGGCUCCCAUGGGAACCGAGUCCACAGGCCUCGCUGAUAGAGAAGUGGGGGCUCUGCCGAGAUUUGGGGCUAAGCCCUCCAGCCUGCUUAUGGGGAAAAAAACCUCUCAACCCAGACUGGGAGAGGAGGGUUUACUUGCUUGCCCGACUUGUGUUUUUUUGCUGGUAAUAGUUUUCAUUGACUGGGGAGUAAAACUGCUCUCCUCUCCUGAACUGACAGAGCAGGACUGGUAAGGGUCAGCUUUGAUUCUGGUCUUCCCUUUGCUCAUCAUUUUAUUUGAGUGCCGUGAGGACAUUCCCCUAUCAGGUUCUUAGAAUCAGAGUACAAAAGCCCACAUGGCGAGGCCUGAGGUUCUCAAUGCACCCUUAGAACCCGCCUCACCCCCGUGCUGGUUGGCGAGUGUCCUCCAGGAGAGAGACCACCCAGUCAGGUGGUCCCGGGGGCAGCAUGACUAACUGGAGUCCUCCAAAUGGGUUGCCUGUCUCUUCCCCUGCCACUAGCUGACGCUUGUGCCGAUGUGUCUUCUGGAGCAUCCUCCAUCCUCUCAGCAUUCGCUUCCCUCAGAGUCACGUCUAACAGCAG